CCUCCGGGGCCCGAUCUCCCACCCUUUGUCGUCGCGAAUCAGUUGCCUCGGCGGCGCGUGCCCCCCUUCCGGGGGGAACGGCGGGCUCCGGCCCACGCCGCCGCGGGACCAUUUCAAACCCUUGCUUUUAAACAAUGCGGUCUGAGAAAGAUUUUUAAAUGAAAUCAAAACUUUCAACAACGGAUCUCUUGGUUCUGGCAUCGAUGAAGAACGCAGCGAAAUGCGAUAAGUAAUGUGAAUUGCAGAAUUCAGUGAAUCAUCGAAUCUUUGAACGCACAUUGCGCCCCUUGGUAUUCCGAGGGGCAUGCCUGUCCGAGCGUCAUUUCCACAAUCAAGCGACGCUUGGUGUUGGGCGACAGGCCCGCCCCCCGCGGCGGGCCCGCCCGAAAUGCAUCGGCGAGGAGACCGACCCCCGGCGUACUAAGGACCCCCAAAAGUUCGCACGUCGGGAGCACCGGUGGCCUCCGCCGCAACCUCAGUGGGGGCUUCGCGCCCCCCUCUCACAAGGUUGACCUCGGAUCAGGUAGGGAUACCCGC
This 537-nucleotide ribosomal RNA is filed under the name Dothideomycetes sp. MX159. RNAcentral's name for it is "eukaryotic LSU rRNA". The stretch from base 169 to 322 matches the Rfam family "5.8S ribosomal RNA". Lineage: Eukaryota; Fungi; Ascomycota; Dothideomycetes. The record is from RNAcentral.